UACGUAGGGCGCAAGCGUUGUCCGGAAUUAUUGGGCGUAAAGAGCUCGUAGGCGGCCUGUUACGUCUGCUGUGAAAUCCCGGGGCUCAACCCCGGGCGUGCAGUGGAUACGGGCUGGCUAGAGGCAGGCAGGGGAGAACGGAAUUCCCGGUGUAGCGGUGAAAUGCGCAGAUAUCGGGAGGAACACCGGUGGCGAAGGCGGUUCUCUGGGCCUGUACUGACGCUGAGGAGCGAAAGCGUGGGGAGCGAACAGG
This 253-nucleotide ribosomal RNA is filed under the name uncultured bacterium. RNAcentral describes it as "partial 16S ribosomal RNA". It matches the Rfam family "Bacterial small subunit ribosomal RNA", at positions 524 to 776 of the family's 1533-position model. The record is from RNAcentral.